Molecule: long non-coding RNA, 3036 nt
Organism: Gopherus flavomarginatus (Mexican gopher tortoise)
Lineage: Eukaryota; Metazoa; Chordata; Testudines; Testudinidae
Exons: 5
Source: RefSeq, a predicted model, not a curated record
ACAUGUGGAGACUUCCCCAUCCAUCACCCAGGGAUGCGUUUGGUAGCUUCUGAUGCCCCAUGCUCAGCCAAAAAAAUGCAGCACAUCUGAUUGACCUGGACAUGAUGGCAAAAUGAGGACAGAUGAAUGGAUGAAUUUUAAGUGAAGAUGGUUGGAUUAUGUAACCAGAAGACUUGAUUAUCUGGCCAGAAGACCAAGCCACAGAAGACCCACAGAGGCCGACGUACAGCCUGCAGGGUCAAUGGGAGCUGAAGAAAAUGGCAGCACUGCUCCUGGACAUCAGUGGGUGCUCAAAAAAGAAAGUGCAACUCUCCACACCCUCAUCAAAUGGCUCCCUUUGCUUCCCCCACCUGUUCAGGCAGCUGGGUGGCCACUUUCUGCCCUUGGCUAUGGAUGUGCAACUUGAAUUGGCUUCAAUGGACCCUCAGUGACUUACUGGAAUUUUGAGUAAUCCCAGGAGCACUGUAGAGAUAUUCAGGAACUGUUCUACCACUAUUAGGUAUAAAACCCAAGUCCUUGCUAAGGAUGUAAACUACUUCGUUUCUGACUGUCUUCAGGUGCACAUGAUACAGAUUUUUCAAAGACCUCUGCUUAUAAAUCAGAUACAACUCAUCUGGGCCUGCUGAUUUAUUAGAGUUCCUGCUUUUGCAAGCACAAUGGUAAUGUACUUCCAUGAAGACAUGUAGCUUUUUUGGAAAGCCACAACCACAUUAAGGUCGCUGCUGCCACCAAGUGGUUUUUCAAUCUCAAAUCUGUAAUUUCUUCUGUCUGGAUUCAGUAGUGCAUCCCUCUUUUUGGAAUCCUACCUGCAAAAUUGCAUUCAUUUCUAAGAAUUUAAAGACUGUGCCUGUAAUGUUGUCAGUCCAUCCCUUCUGCCAGGGGAUUCCUGGACUAUCACAGGAGUCAUAGCUGCCUGUUAGCACAUGGUUCUAAUCCUGAAGUUCCUUCUAGCACUGACAAUAGGAUUUCAAUAAAAAGGUAACAAUUCUUACUCCAGGCUACUAUUAUGCAUAUAAAUAAAAAUUCAUUCUUAAUCCUUUUAAGUUCUGGAAAAUACUUUUUGGCUAGAAUUACUCCAAUAAAUACACCCAACAUACAAAAUUAAUCCAUCAUAUACAUAAAUGGAUAAAUAUACUAAAAAAAACAGGCAAAUGCUCUGGAAAUAAUACAACAACUUGAAAACAUCAGUUAAUAGGAGGAAAAAAUUCACUUAUGUUCUUCAAACAAGUGAAGUCCUUCAUACACAAGCUACAAUCUAUCAAGAAUGAAAGCCUACCAAAAUAAUUAUGAUAGUUAUAUAUUAGUUGGUAAACAAAACAUUCCUAGGAUAUGUGCCCUUAUUAUGUGAUAUAAAAUACUCUGCAACAAUCAUCUGGACAUUUUGAUUCAUGAAAUAUGCCAUGUAUGGAUAAAGGUACAUUUCUAAAAGCGUGCAGAGAAUCUGCAGAGUUUGUUUCCUAUUCCUAUUUGCAAAUGACACCAUCUCACUUGGUUUACAAAGGAAAGCAUCUAUAGCAACAACAGAUUUUAACUCAUAGUAAGGUUAUUUUACUAGUGAAGUGUUCAGCAGAAAUUACCGAAUUAUUUCUUCAUCUGGUGCAGCAGAAGGUAUGUUAACUUGUACAGAGUAUUAGCCAUCCUUUCCUUCAGGGAGCUUUCUAAAAUGAGCUUGCAUUUAUUUAAAGUAUGACAGAAGGAGCCAGCAUAGCUAUUUUGUGUGUGUGUGUGUGUGUGUGUCUCUGAGGUAUUAAAUACAGCUAUAAAAAUUCUCUCUUCAGAGUGUCAAAUUUACACUACUGAAGUGGUUUAAUGCUAAAGUUUUAGGGAAAGGUGCUGAAGAAAUUUCUAGGAAGAGAGGAGGUGGGUAGGUCACAUUGCCUCAACUUAUUUUAAAUGUACUUCUCACUUUACUUCCCAAACCAUUUUUUGUUUUUUUAAGUUUGACAAGCAAUGGAAGGGAACAAACUGACUGUAUGUUAGAUAGUUAGACUACCAACAUAUAGAUUUGUGGUUGCUUUACAUGUAAAAGAGUUCAUAUUAUUCCUGGGGGAAUUCUGCACAUCUGCAGACAUGCAGAAUUCUUCUGUGUCACAUAAUUUUGUAUUUUCCCGCAUAAAAUGCAUUUUGCCUAAGAAGUGCUGCAGUUCUGCCUUUUGCCCGCUUGAGGCCGCUGUGGCACCAGAACACCAGCUGCAUGAACGCGGAUGGCCGUUCUAGUGCCACAAUGGUCUCUGGUUGGGGGGCAAAAGGCAGAACUGCAGCACUUCUGGGGCAAAAUGCAUUUUCUGCAGGGGGCGGGGGGGAUUCUAUGCCCAAUGCUGCAGAAUUGACCCAAGGAGUAGAAGUUCAUCAUAGCACCCUGUCCGCAGAGCCAAGUUCGGACAGAGUGGAGCACACAGGGCUGUUGCGAGGGGGGGGGAGGAGAGGGAGAAAGGAGGGUGGUCCACAGACUGGGGUUCAGAAUGGCCAGUGGCAGAGAGAGACUGAGGCAUGGACUCAGGAGCUAGUGGGGUGACAAUGUUGAGCCUGGGGAUGGGGGAUGCAUAGACCCAUGGGGAUGAGGAGUGUGGGGACGGGCAGAUGUGCUUGACCUCAUGGGAGAGACUUGGGGUCAGCCAGGGGCUGCAUGGGAAGGCUUCCUAACCCUCCAACAACCCCCCUUCCCUCCUCCCUAAAAAAACAACAACCUCUUUUCCACCCACCUCCAGGUUCACUCCUUCCCUCCUCCUCAGCUCCUCUGUUACCUCAACUCCCCCAAGCCUUUGCACUACUUCUGACAGGGGCAGGAAAUCCAGUUCUGUAUUGUAAUUUAAAUGAAUUACUCAAAGUUCUACAUUAAUAUGCCUAUAAGGAAUCUAUUAGUCAAAAAACCACUAUCCACAAUCUUUUUUUUUUGAGGUCUGUAUUGUUACAGACAUACUCACUGAAAGAUAUUUUGCAAUAAAGUACCAAAAUAAUUGAAACUUGCACAAUUAUAUUGUGUUAUUUUGACAAAGCAAAUAAGCAUACUUAUGCAGAAUUUUCAGAUACUGUGUG